GUUUUGGAGUGUCUGGGAUUGGCAGACCAGCUGUUCAUGUGAAAUGUAAUUGGUGCCACAGAUCUGGAUGAGCAAUGAAUCAAGUCCAGGGAGUUAGGGCAGCAAAGGAUCAUGAGCAAGUCUCCAAUGGUGAAGAUCAACCCCGGUCAUGUAAAAAUAACUGCCACCUCUGGAGGAACUGAGUAAUGUUGCCAAAGAAUAAGAGUCACUCUAACGUCAAAAGGAGGACAGCAGGCAGUUGGGUAAGUGUGGCUAAUUCUGUACUAGGAUUGCUGAA
This 277-nucleotide long non-coding RNA is filed under the name Rhinopithecus bieti (black snub-nosed monkey). RNAcentral's name for it is "lncRNA (ENSRBIG00000045061.1)". The record is from RNAcentral. Lineage: Eukaryota; Metazoa; Chordata; Mammalia; Primates; Cercopithecidae.